Chiroxiphia lanceolata (lance-tailed manakin) is the source of this 3494-nucleotide RNA transcript. It is a transcript of the gene named RecQ mediated genome instability 2, with no coding region annotated. The record is from RefSeq and is a predicted model, not a curated record. NCBI's taxonomy places the organism in Eukaryota, Metazoa, Chordata, Aves, Passeriformes, Pipridae. The transcript is spliced from 7 exons.
UCUCCCGGUGGCCCGGAGCCAGCGGUGGCACCGCUGCGGAGAACACCCCGGGCUCCCCGCCCCGCCCCUCCGAUGGAGCUGGUCCCGCUCGCCGGGUGACCCCGCUUCUCCAAACUACGUCUGGGUUUACUCUUUUUUUUUCCGUUUUUUUUUCGGUCAGGAGGGACUGGCGGGAGGUGCUGCGGGGUAGUCCCGAGCACCAGAGCGCUCUGAGGCCCCGGGGAGGAGAGGGGACACUGGAGUGCCUAUUUAGCUUCUCCUGAAUGAUUUACAUGACUACAAAUUUUCAUUUGCUGCUGCAGGUGGACAGUGUUGAUGCUCCUUCUGGUGCUCCCAUGAGUCCAUCUACUCAAACCACAGGCAAAUGCUGUGCUUCUACUGAAGUUUAUUUCAGUUCAUAAUAACGUCAAAAUAAAAUACUGACGACUGUCUGAUGAGUCUAGAGGAAGCCUUAGACUUGGUUACAUAAAUUGAAUUGAGCUUGCCAAGGUGACCUUCAAAAACUUCUUGGACGUAUGAGGAGUGACAUGUGAUGACCUCAAACCACAAGUAAUUCUAAUACAACUUUACUCACAGAAAAACCUUUUGGGAAGGUACCAGGACUUUAACUGAGCUUAAUGCAAGACUACAGACAUUGAGGACAUUGUAAAACAUGCAAACUGUUUGGAAUUCAAGGACAGAAGUUUUCCCCACAGUUCUCAUUCAGCUGUGUGUCCUGAAUUCACACCCGAGGUCCCCCCUGCAGAGCAGCACGAGGCCAGCUGUGCCUUCAGCUGGGAUUUUUGCUUUUGCUUUCUGAAGUACCAAUACCAGAGCCUUCCUGCUCAGCCCUUGGCAGUUCCUCCUUUCAAGGCCAUUUCUGCUCUUCCUCUGAUGUUUCUGCCAGCACCAGGAGUUUGAGUAAGCCCAUCUGGAAGCCAGCUUUGCAGACCACUCCCAGAGCAGCAAGCAAUACUGCAUAUUUAUACCACGGAAAGAAGCAAACAGGUGACACCCACUUCUGCAGAACACCUCUGGAGCUCUCUAAGCAUUUCCUCUGAGUAUUCUUUGUAAGUGAAAUGAGUCAGCGAAGUGGGAGAGCAUUGCUCUGUGUUCAUAGCCUGCAGGCUCCCCUCAGCAGGGGCCUGUGGUGAGUGACAGGAACUGGUUAAGUUUGCGUGAUGGUGAGAGCAAUGAAAUAAUUUCUCAUGCUAAGGCUGGCUGUACAAGCUGAGGUUUCCACCCUCUCUGAGGAGAUGAUGUUUUUCUCUGCCACACACCGGGUGCAGCUGUCAGCUCCUGGCAGCUGCAGGAAGGCUCUUGCCGUAAUCCUCUGCAGAUUCCACUAAACAUAAGCUAACAUGCAAUGUAUAGCAUCUGUAUUAGGUUCUCAAGUAGGAUUUGCCAUGAAAGUUAUGUUAAUUCAUCUUAUCUUAGCAUGACUCACAUGCAGUUUGGGUUGGAUGACUCUAUGGGAGAGGCCAGACUCUUCUAGUUGUUGUAAGCAGUGAGAUUAGAAUGUCUGCUGCUCACAUUCACCUGCCUUUUUCAAGUCACUUCUAAAAUGCCACUUAUUCAGAGCUCCCUGCUAACUAAAACUUUGGCAGCUUGAAUCUGGAGUUUUCCUGUUUCAGCAGAUGACUUUGCUGGCUCCAGGUCUUUUGAAAUUCCUGGACAAACACCAUUUAGGAUCCAUACUGCCAGACUGAUCAGACCCAAAGCAUAAAUUAUAAGCAGCAGAAGCUCAGGUUAGGGAUGUAAAUAUGACUGACUUCCAACCCAUUUAUUCCAACUCUGUUAAUUUCAAAUAAUUAAUUAAAUUCAGUGAUGAUGUGAUAGGUAGUCUGAAAAAAAAACCUUGAAGGAUGAAGAUGGUUUUCCAGACUUCAGUCAGCAUGUCCACAUUGCAUCUUUUAUGCAGUACAAAACAAACACCAGGAACAACUGAAUUUUAUAUUCUUGUGUUUGUUUCAUAUAGUUCUGUGUGCAGUAGAAGAAAAUAAAUCUAAACUAGGAUGGAUCUUCUAAAGUUGAAACCUGAUACUUGUCUGUGCUAAAAGUUGCCGUUCAGUGAAUUAUAGAAAUAUAGAAAUAUGAGGGAAAGGAAGACAGUCAGUCUCAGACUCCUCCAUUACAGAGUAAUGCAUUAGUACAAAGUACAAAUCUUAAAAACAACCCCAAAACCCUAAAACUUUGUUUGAAACACAGUUAGUGACUUCUCAGUGCUAGGAAAGUGAAACCGAAAUAAAAUUGAAGAACCUUUUCUGUACACUUUGACCCUUGGACUGGGGUGGAGAUAUUUUUUAAAACUCCUUUGGGUAGGAUGAAAGGCUGUAAUAGAUCAGAACUUCUGGCCAAGGGAAAGGAGGAUUUUUGUGCUUGUGUAAUAUCAGCCUUUUACCAAAAUUAGAGAAGGGAGCAGAGAAUUUCUUCCAUUUUAAGUAGUACUGUCAGUAAAAGCACCGAAAGGUCUGAGCUGGACAGAAAAUUUCUAAUUGCAGCUCCUUUGGAAAUCGCUUUUCACGGAGAUCUGGGGUCAAAUUCUUUUCUAAGGUCUCUUGGCACCAUACCAACAAAACAGUGCCAGUGUAAUUGAGGGAGCCCUGGCUCCUGCUAUGCUCCAGACUGUUAUCCAGGUGUAGUUUGACCUUUGUAUUUUACCCAUACUGUGACCAUCUCACGUGCACGUCAGUGUGAGGAAUAAUGUCCUUGAAGAUUGCUUUGAAGAGAGGCACCCAUUGUAGUAGCAGGCAGAAGAAGAUUGAUUCCUUUCUUUUAAUCUGUGCAAACCAAAACUCUGUCUCACCCAGGGUGCUCUCAGGAAAUCCGCUCAUGUUUAACCCACUGUAAUUUACAGCCUGUCAGGCACCAACUCAUUGCCUUUUCCAACUGUGUGUUGAGCUUUCUCUGCUCCCCUUAAAUCAGAGGAUUAUCACUGUGGGGUCACCUCCAGAAACCAGUCUGUUGAGGCAUCAGACUUUCCUUGCAGCUUCAGAACGUGUCUCUGUGCUUGGCUGAGACAGUUCUUUGGUAAGAGCUUUGCAGAUAAUUCAGUGCAACUUUGCAUUUUACUGAAAGACAAGGAUUUUCUGGUUUGGGAAAACAAAUCCAUUUCUUGAUGCAUAUUGCCAGCACUUCUGCCCUUCUUAUAACACAGUUUCUAGAAGGCAAAUCCUUUAAAAGGGACCUUUUAGUCUCCCCUGAAGAUUACACUCUUGUAGGGGUCUUGCCUUCAUCUGUAGAUUUAAUGGCCUAAUAAGCAUUAGACCCUCCUGUUAUGUAGUAACAAAUAGGAAUACAAUACUUUUAUCAAUAUUUGGCACAAUUAAUUUUUUUUUAUGUGAAACUAAAUAUUGAUGCUGUCAAGUGACUGCAGCUCAGGGACAUAAAUUACAAAUAUUCUUUUCCUAUGAGCCUUGCUCAAAUUUUGCAUUCAUAUACAGUAACCAUCUAAUGUCUUUCUAUUCCUGUAAGCCAUAUGAUUUGAUUGCCAGAUUACAUGGUUCUGUAUUGUG